This 875-nucleotide ribosomal RNA is filed under the name Bacillus subtilis. RNAcentral's name for it is "bacterial SSU rRNA". It matches the Rfam family "Bacterial small subunit ribosomal RNA", at positions 74 to 932 of the family's 1533-position model. Lineage: Bacteria; Bacillati; Bacillota; Bacilli; Caryophanales; Bacillaceae. The record is from RNAcentral.
GGGAGCUUGCUCCCUGAUGUUAGCGGCGGACGGGUGAGUAACACGUGGGUAACCUGCCUGUAAGACUGGGAUAACUCCGGGAAACCGGGGCUAAUACCGGAUGGUUGUCUGAACCGCAUGGUUCAGACAUAAAAGGUGGCUUCGGCUACCACUUACAGAUGGACCCGCGGCGCAUUAGCUAGUUGGUGAGGUAACGGCUCACCAAGGCGACGAUGCGUAGCCGACCUGAGAGGGUGAUCGGCCACACUGGGACUGAGACACGGCCCAGACUCCUACGGGAGGCAGCAGUAGGGAAUCUUCCGCAAUGGACGAAAGUCUGACGGAGCAACGCCGCGUGAGUGAUGAAGGUUUUCGGAUCGUAAAGCUCUGUUGUUAGGGAAGAACAAGUGCCGUUCAAAUAGGGCGGCACCUUGACGGUACCUAACCAGAAAGCCACGGCUAACUACGUGCCAGCAGCCGCGGUAAUACGUAGGUGGCAAGCGUUGUCCGGAAUUAUUGGGCGUAAAGGGCUCGCAGGCGGUUUCUUAAGUCUGAUGUGAAAGCCCCCGGCUCAACCGGGGAGGGUCAUUGGAAACUGGGGAACUUGAGUGCAGAAGAGGAGAGUGGAAUUCCACGUGUAGCGGUGAAAUGCGUAGAGAUGUGGAGGAACACCAGUGGCGAAGGCGACUCUCUGGUCUGUAACUGACGCUGAGGAGCGAAAGCGUGGGGAGCGAACAGGAUUAGAUACCCUGGUAGUCCACGCCGUAAACGAUGAGUGCUAAGUGUUAGGGGGUUUCCGCCCCUUAGUGCUGCAGCUAACGCAUUAAGCACUCCGCCUGGGGAGUACGGUCGCAAGACUGAACUCAAAGGAAUUGACGGGGGGCCCGCACAAGCGG